GCGACGGGUAGAAGUACGCGUAUGCACCUACCGUAUCAGAGGGGAAUAACCCGGCGAAAGUCGGACUAAUACCGCAUAAAACAGGGGUUCCACAUGGAAAUAUUUGUUUAAAGAAUUAUCGCUGAUAGAUGGGCAUGCGUUCCAUUAGAUAGUUGGUGAGGUAACGGCUCACCAAGUCCACGAUGGAUAGGGGUUCUGAGAGGAAGGUCCCCCACACUGGUACUGAGACACGGACCAG
This 238-nucleotide ribosomal RNA is filed under the name uncultured Bacteroidota bacterium. Its description in RNAcentral is "uncultured Bacteroidetes bacterium partial 16S ribosomal RNA". It matches the Rfam family "Bacterial small subunit ribosomal RNA", at positions 102 to 334 of the family's 1533-position model. The record is from RNAcentral. Lineage: Bacteria; Pseudomonadati; Bacteroidota.